RNAcentral lists this ribosomal RNA (792 nucleotides) under uncultured bacterium. RNAcentral describes it as "bacterial SSU rRNA". It matches the Rfam family "Bacterial small subunit ribosomal RNA", at positions 8 to 796 of the family's 1533-position model. The record is from RNAcentral.
AGAGUUUGAUCCUGGCUCAGAGCGAACGCUGGCGGCGUGCUUAACACAUGCAAGUCGAACGCGCAGCAUUCUGUAGCAAUACAGGGUGUGGGCGCGUGGCGAACGGGUGCGUAACACGUGGAUAACCUUCCUUCAGGUGGGGAAUAACCCAGUGAAAAUUGGGCUAAUACCGCAUAACAAAGCGAGAAGACAUCUUUUUGCUUUCAAAGCCGCAAGGCGCCAGAAGAGGGAUCCGCGGCCGAUUAGCUUGUUGGCGGGGUAACGGCCCACCAAGGCAUUGAUCGGUAGCCGGACUGAGAGGUUGGCCGGCCACACUGGAACUGAGACACGGUCCAGACUCCUACGGGAGGCAGCAGUGGGGAAUCUUGCACAAUGGGCGAAAGCCUGAUGCAGCAACGCCGCGUGGGGGAUGAAGCUUCUCGGAGUGUAAACCCCUUUCGACCCGGAAGAAAGCCCGCAAGGGUUUGACGGUACGGGUAUAAGAAGCCCCGGCUAACUACGUGCCAGCAGCCGCGGUAAAACGUAGGGGGCCAGCGUUGCUCGGAAUUACUGGGCGUAAAGGGUCCGUAGGCGGUGUGGCAAGUCGGUAGUGAAAUCUCUGGGCUUAACCCAGAGGCUGCUGCCGAAACUGCCGUGCUAGAGUGUGAGAGAGGCGAGUGGAAUUACGGGUGUAGCGGUGAAAUGCGUAGAUAUCCGUAGGAACAUCCGAGGCGAAAGCGGCUCGCUGGAUCACAACUGACGCUGAGGGACGAAAGCUAGGGGAGCAAACAGGAUUAGAUACCCUAGUAGUCC